UACGUAGGACCCAAGCGUUAUCCGGAUUGAUUGGGCGUAAAGAGUUGCGUAGGUGGUUUGUUAAGCGAAUAGUGAAAUCUUGUGGCUCAACCAUAAGGCUAUUAUUCGAACUGGCAAACUCGAGAACAGGAGAGGUAUCUGGAAUUCCCAGUGUAGGAGUAAAAUCCGUAGAUAUUGGGAGGAACACCAAUGGCGUAGGCAGGAUACUGGACUGUUUCUGACACUAAGGCACGAAAGCGUGGGGAGCGAACUGG
Molecule: ribosomal RNA, 254 nt
Filed under: uncultured bacterium
Lineage: Bacteria
Description: partial 16S ribosomal RNA
Rfam family: Bacterial small subunit ribosomal RNA
Source: RNAcentral